This 2416-nucleotide long non-coding RNA is filed under the name Salmo salar (Atlantic salmon). RNAcentral describes it as "lncRNA (ENSSSAG00000099886.1, ENSSSAG00020064959.1)". Lineage: Eukaryota; Metazoa; Chordata; Actinopteri; Salmoniformes; Salmonidae. The record is from RNAcentral.
GCCCUCUUUACCCAUCUGUCUUUUCUGAUUCUGUGGAAUGAGAUGCUGCUGCGCCUGAGGCUUGGUGAGAUCGGCGGCCAUCUUGGCCACAUUUCUCUUAUUCAGUCUGCCUGUGGGGCGCUUCCUGAAACUCACUCCGUUUGGCUUCGGUGCCUCACAGGAGCAGUUCCUCUCCUGUAGCUUUGAACACAUCAGACCACACGUCUUAAAGUGUCCGUUUGAUGAGGGAGCCGUUGGCAUCCUAACAUCUGCAAUCUGCUCGCAGUCCUGUCGACUGGGUACAAUAGGCCCAGUCUGUUUGGCAGGUUCCAUCACCGCCGCCUCCAUUUCCUGGUUGCAGCGACCUGUACAACUGCAGCCAGGCACUUUGUCUCCUGCUAGGCAUUUGGAGGAAUAUGUUUCAGGGUCAUCUGGAGAGCAGGGAGGGCUCAGAACCCUGGGCUCUGUAACUUCCAGAGCCUUCUUUUUUGGGCUAUGUUGAGCCUUGGGUUUCACUGACCCUUGAGUGCUAUUCAAUGGUCCUUCAACACUUGGGAUCAUUGCACUUUGGUUUGUAGGAGAACCAUACACAUUGGCUUUUUCCACAAGCUCCAUGUGUAGGUUGUGGCUAAGUUUGAGCUGCCUUUUCCUCCUGGGAAGAGCUUCAGAGUUCAGCCUCUUUGAUGGAAUGAAUUUAUCCAUUGGUGUGCUGAAAACUUGCUUAUGCUCUGCAGUGCCUAGUUGGAGCUUUCUGUAGUACAUUUUUUCCAUGUCGGCCAGCAAACAGGAAGAGGGAACAUAAGGGGGAAGUGUGUCUAUCGAUGACAGGGACAACCUUUGACUUAUCUCGGUUAUAGCCAACAGCUGACUAGCUGUGUGGCCUCGACUGACAUUCGCAUCUGAUACUUUCGCAGUCGACACUUCAUGAUCCAAAAGCCCAUUCUGUAUCAGCCACUCUGUGGAGGGGACAUACGGCGCCAAAGACUGCACUGACCAAUCAGACACAUUAGCCUUUUGCUGUAUUUGGCUAUAAUGGAAGGACUCUUGGCAUGAAGAAGUAUUCACAUCAGCCAUUUUCUCAGCCUCUUUCACAUUUUCUAAAGUCAGCGAAAACCUCAGACUUCUCCUCCUCUCUGUUAUAGCUAUGACCUGACUGGCUGCGAGGUCUUGACUGACGUUGGGAGGAUCUGCUUCUUUCUCAGUCAACACAAUGCCGUUUUCCAUAAGAAACUCUUUGGAGGGGACAUACGGGGCCAAAGACUGCACUGACCAUACGGACUCAUUCAACUUUUUCGGUCCCUGACUAUAAAAGGACAUCUGGCUUUGAUUAGGAUGAUCAUCUGACACUUUUCCAGACAACUCUUGUGCCACAUCUUCUGGCGCCAUCAGUCCAUUCUGUGUCAUCCACUCUAUAGAGAUGCUACGUGAGUGAAUGGUCUUUGUUCCUGCAGGUGGGUCUUUGCCAGUACCCUGGCUCCUCACCAUCCCCUGGAAUCCAGUUUUGGAGGCAAUGGGCGAAUUAGGUUCUUCUUCUGGGCAGCUCUGUUUCUCUGCAUUGGAGCUUAGAGAUGAGGGGGUGGUAGAGUUGGUGCCUCUUCCAAAGUCUGACCUAGCCAGUGGUCUAGCCAAGGGGGGACCGUCCUUCACCGCUUCAGGUGGUGGUUCAGUCUGUACUUCAGAGUUAACCAUCUCUAUGGGUGUGGCAUUGUGGUAAAACAUUCUGGACAUCCUGCUGUUGUUCUGGUAGGCCAUGGCAGCAGGAGGGAAUUGGUAUCGUCUGUAUUCUGCAGGGUGCAGCUGGGAAUGAGGAAGAACAUAACCUGGAACCUCCAUGUAUGGGUGGGGAAGGAAAGGUGGCAUAACCAUUCCCGGCAUACCGUAACCUAAAUACAAAAUUGGAAGGAAUGAGUGUCAUUGAAUCUUUGAAUUGUAUUGAAUAACAUAUUAAAUACUUUUUUUUUUAAAUGACAGCUGAAAGCAUGGGGUUCUUCAAAUUAUGGAGGUAUACAUUUUGAGCUGUACAAUAACAUGUAGUAGAUCAGAACUAAAAUGUGGUCUACUGAUCAUGAAUAUUACUUCAUACCGCCAGACUGGACAUUACACAGCAUUUAUACUACUGGGUAAGAAAAACAUAUUUAAACUUAGCCAUCCCUGGAAAUCCAGAGCAGGGGUUGUAGGGCAUGGGCCACUGGUAGUGGUAAAAGGGGAGAGGAGGAGGGGGCUGCACAUAGAAGUAGGGUCGAGACUGGUGCACAUGAGGAUGGGGCUGAUGAUCGGUCAGAUGGGGCCCUGAUCCUUCAGGUCCACACACUGGGUGCCAUGUGCCAGGGUUGGGCUGAGGAACUGGCUGGUGUGGCCCAAUGUGCCUUGCUGCCACAUGUGGUCCAUUUUCAAAUUGUGUUGCUGCCAUACCUAAACUAAGGAAAGAAACAGAAAG